GUGGAUUAGAUACCCUGGUAGUCCUGGCCGUAAACGAUGGAUACUAGGUGUUGCGGGUAUCGACCCCUGCAGUGCCGAAGCUAACGCGAUAAGUAUCCCGCCUGGGGAGUACGCACGCAAGUGUGAAACUCAAAGGAAUUGACGGGGACCCGCACAAGCGGUGGAACAUGUGGUUUAAUUCGAAGCAACGCGAAGAACCUUACCAGGGCUUGACAUCUAACAAAUCUAGCGGAAACGUUGGAGUGCUCUUCGGAGAAUGUUAAGACAGGUGGUGCACGGUUGUCGUCAACU
Molecule: ribosomal RNA, 291 nt
Filed under: uncultured bacterium
Lineage: Bacteria
Description: partial 16S ribosomal RNA
Rfam family: Bacterial small subunit ribosomal RNA
Source: RNAcentral